UCUGGCAUGAUUGAAAGCUCCCUGGGCCUUCACCAGAAGCUGAGUAGAUGCCAGCACCAUACUGCCUCUCAAGUCCACAGAACUCUGAGCCAAUUAAACAUCUUUACAAAUUACCCAGUCUCAGAUUGAAAAUAAAUCCAUUCUCCCCUGGAUGACAUUUAGGCUGUUUCCACUUCACUGAUUAUUCUUACAUGUGAUUGAGGUAACCAAGCUUAUGUAUUACAGGAAAAGCAAGAAUAAAUACAGUGUACAUUUUUUCAGGUAUGGGUCUAAAUUACAACUGUCGAGGCAGAAAACUAAAAAAUAUUUUUGGGACCUAAACUUGAGACCUGACUAAAUGGACCUAAUAGCCAUCUACAGAACACUCCCCUAGACAACAUAGUAUACAUUCUUUUCAUUUGCACAUGGCACAUACUGUAAAAUCAAGCACAUGCUCAGUCAUAAAGCAAUUCUCAAUAAAAU
This 462-nucleotide long non-coding RNA is filed under the name Homo sapiens (human). Its description in RNAcentral is "non-protein coding lnc-RPP30-10:4". Lineage: Eukaryota; Metazoa; Chordata; Mammalia; Primates; Hominidae. The record is from RNAcentral.